Non-coding RNA from Bactrocera oleae (olive fruit fly), 3630 nucleotides. The record is from RefSeq and is a predicted model, not a curated record. NCBI's taxonomy places the organism in Eukaryota, Metazoa, Arthropoda, Insecta, Diptera, Tephritidae.
UAAUCGAUACUUAUCGAAAAAUGCAAUCUCAAAAAGCCGGCAAGCAUUUAAAUAAAGGAAAGGUUUAGGAAAAUUAUCUAAAUUAGAUUAUUCGAUACACAACUAUAGAACAGUAAAAGCAAUAUACAAAAGAACCUUUCAUAUAGACAGAAGUAACGUUUUCAUUAAAAUUUUAUUUAGAUAUUUAUAUUGUGGAUGUUCUAACACAUUAAUUUCAAAUCUAAAUAAGAAGUAAAUAAUGGGAAUGUUUUCUAAAUCCCAGCCAAUAGGAGGACUCAAAAUCUUUCUAACGCCGUAUACCGUAACCGGAUCCAACUUUUAAAACGCGAGAUUCUCAUUACAAAAGCCAUCUAUUGGAAAAAUAAUGGAUUUCUGGUGAACUGACUAUACAAUUUGAAGAAAUGGAAUUAUCAGGAAAGUCGUGAAAACUCCCGUUUGUAUGAGCUACAUAAAAAUAAGUGUUAUAAAAAUGGCCGCUUUCCAGUUUACCUCGUUAAAUCUGCAAAUGGCACAAGAUUAUUUUUAUAAUUUAAAUCCAUUAGCUCAGCGUAUUGCAUCUGAUAUAACCACUACAAAAUCAUCAUAUGGCACGCUUUGGUAUACUUUGAAAGCAACUCAACAAAAUGAGAUCAUUAACGAAACUCUAAUAACACCUGAAAUUUCUUUGAAGUACUUGGAAAAUAUGUCUCUGUCUGCUUCAUCGUUAUCAUCAAAUUCAUCUUCGUCUAUCUCAUCUUGUGCUAGUUUAAGUACAACAAGUGUCAAACAUAUUUUGCCGUCGUCUUCAAAGAGCAGAGGACAAAAUUAUUCGCCCAAUGUCAAUAAUAGUAAAACAUCGAAUUCGUUAACUGAUAAUAUUAAUUUGCAGACUCAAAAUUUAUUGUCCAACACUUUGGUUGCACGCGCUAAACACACAAUACAAUCACAUCAACUUGGAAAAUUAAAACCUCCAUCGUCUCCACCGCCACUUCCUCCAACUACAACCAAAAAAUUGACGAAAACCGAAAAUGCUGAAAAACAAAAAAACAAAUUGAAAACAAAUCAAGUAAAGGCUACCAAUGAGAAAACGAAUUAUAUUUAUGAUGGAAUCAACCUCCAUACAUAUACCGCUCAGAAAGUGGCUCUAAAAAUUAUUUAUGAUGAUGUAUUAGGGGCAUACCGCGAUGAACAUUCGCAACCUUUCAGUUAUCGCACAAAAUCACAGAUUGAUCUACAGAAGCAGUAUUAUGAAGCUGAUUUGGAUGACAUAAAUCUGAACACUAAUUUUGAUUAUAAAUGCCCUACUUCAAACGAGCCGAGAAAUGGAAAUUUGGCUGAAAAUGUAGCUCUAACUAAAAACUCUGAACGCUUACAAAAGGAGUAAAAGAGCACCUUUAAUAAUCAUUUGAAAAUUUCUAGAAAAAAUAAACGACUAAUACCUAUAUCGCCAGAAGUAUUCAAGAUUCCACCUGCUAAGGCAACUCAAGCGCUUUCUUCACGAAAUUUUAAUAAGUGUAAAAAUAAAUCGAGCAAAUAUUUGUUGAAAGAAAAUGUUGAAAAGCAUACAUCCGAAGACUCAUUUUUACUCGACUUCAAACCCAAACAAUCAAAUUUGAAUUAUGCCGUAUAUACAGAUGUCUACUUUGAACAAUAUGGUCGCCUGGAUGCAGUGGCACGCAGAAGAAGAAGCUUCAGACCUGUCAGUACGCUGCACUCCGGACUAUCACGGGAUGCCUCUUGAUGUCUCCAAUCGAACACCUACAUAGUGAGGCCCGUAUGCUUCCGGUUAAGGAACACAACGAACUCCUCUCCAAACAGUUUCUGCUAGGGUGCUUUCGUAGAAACCACCCCUGUAGUCGCCUGCUUGUAGCGGAGCCGCCUCCUAGGAACAUCAAGAGGUCUUUCCUUGAUUACGUCGACGACAUCAGACAGUACGCCGACCGGACUUCGGACGCUAUGAACUUCAGACAGGCACUGACCACAUUCACAGUGGAGCCGUUAACACCUUCAUCGACUCCCUCUCAGUGAAUGGCGUACUAUGAGUCAAACCACCAACCACCUAUAGCAGACGUAGAGCUCGAGUUGCCUCACGAAACCAGAGUGACCCUCGCGCAACUUCAUUCUGGAUACUGUAGCAGGUUAAACUCCUACUUAUCCAGAAUAGACCCCGACAUACCAAACACAUGUCCUGCACGCAAUGGUUCUCCGCAUGACACUAACCACCUCUUUGCAUGCCCAACAAACCCCACUCAUCUAACACCCUUCUCCCUAUGGUCCGACCUCGUCGAAACAGCUCGUUUCCUGGGCCUCCCGUUAGAUGACCUCGACGACAACGAAUCUGGAAUUAAUCACCCAAACGGGGACCGUUACAACAAUAACAACAAAUGUCAGUACUGUUAAUUUACAUUUGAAUUUUUACAUUCAGAACCACUGAUUGAAGAAAGACGUAAGCAGAGCUAUUGAGAGGAGGGGAUGAGAUCAGAUGACCGUCACUUUUCUUGUAGGGUACAUAACAAAUGUAAACAAAUAGAUGUGUGAACUGUCAAUGAAAACUCAUCGAAAACACACAAUGUCGGUCAGAACGACUUUGGUUCCACAAUCCACAAAUUGUGUUUUCAAGAGGAUUUCAAUUCGGUGCGAACAUAGUAUUAGGACUGGUUACAUGUAAAUUUAUACAAUGGUCGAUUUUGCUGGCUCUAAUGUAAUCGAUACUUAUCGAAAAAUGCAAUCUCAAAAAGCCGGCAAGCAUUUAAAUAAAGGAAAGGUUAAGGCUAAAUUAGAUUAUUCGAUACACAACUAUAGAACAGUAAAAGCAAUAUACAAAAGAACCUUUCAUAUAGAAAGAAGUAACGUUUUCAUUAAAAUUUUAUUUAGAUGUUUUUAUUGUGGAUGUUCUAACACAUUAAUUUCAAAUCUAAAUAAGAAGUAAAUAAUGGUAGGCCGUAAGAUUUCUGACUAUAAACCAAAAAGUCUACACAGCAUAUUGGCUGGGAUUUAGAAUAGCAACCCCCGAAUGAGUUUAAGCUUGCUAAGUUAAUAGGUAAAGAUAGAGGAGGUUCUCCAACUUAGGGAUAUUUAUACACAUAGCUGUCGGUGACUUAUGGUUUGUGAAUCAUUUGUAUUUAAAUUACCAAUUUAUAGUAUGCAAUUUUUCGAUUUACGAUGAAUUUUACGCUUAUGUUGUUUUAUAUUGUAUAUAUCCACCAAACAAAAAUGUGCGUGUGUGACACAUUCUGAAAUAGCAUUUAUUAGUUUUACAAUUUUUGGGCUUCAAACACAAAUCUCUAAAAAAAAAAUCAGGCUGGGAUAUGUGUAUAUAUUCUUGAUCUUAUUCGUCCAUACCAUCAGAUCUCUGCUCCGGAGAAACCGAAAUUUUGCCCUAUAGCCAGCGGCAGCUAUAUAUAUGCAUACACAUAUAUUCUCAAUCUGGAAAACCUGUAUCCAUAGGAGAGGGAAUGUUUUCUAAAUCCCAGCCAAUAGGAGGACUCAAAAUCUUUCUAACGCCGUAUACCGUAACCGGAUCCAACUUUUAAAACGCGAGAUUCUCAUUACAAAAGCCAUCUAUUGGAAAAAUAAUGGAUUUCUGGUGAACUGACUAUACAAUUUGAAGAGUACGAAAAUAUGUCAAAAAUAUUUUCUAUUUAUGCAUAU